GUCGAACGCUGAAGCACCAGCUUGCUGGUGUGGAUGAGUGGCGAACGGGUGAGUAAUACGUGAGUAACCUGCCCUUGACUCUGGGAUAAGCCCGGGAAACUGGGUCUAAUACUGGAUGCUACAUGUCACCGCAUGGUGGUGUGUGGAAAGGGUUUACUGGUCUUGGAUGGGCUCACGGCCUAUCAGCUUGUUGGUGAGGUAAUGGCUCACCAAGGCGACGACGGGUAGCCGGCCUGAGAGGGUGACCGGCCACACUGGGACUGAGACACGGCCCAGACUCCUACGGGAGGCAGCAGUGGGGAAUAUUGCACAAUGGGCGAAAGCCUGAUGCAGCGACGCCGCGUGAGGGAUGACGGCCUUCGGGUUGUAAACCUCUUUCAGCAGGGAAGAAGCCACAAGUGACGGUACCUGCAGAAGAAGCGCCGGCUAACUACGUGCCAGCAGCCGCGGUAAUACGUAGGGCGCAAGCGUUGUCCGGAAUUAUUGGGCGUAAAGAGCUCGUAGGCGGUUUGUCGCGUCUGCUGUGAAAGCCCGGGGCUUAACCCCGGGUGUGCAGUGGGUACGGGCAGACUAGAGUGCAGUAGGGGAGACUGGAAUUCCUGGUGUAGCGGUGGAAUGCGCAGAUAUCAGGAGGAACACCGAUGGCGAAGGCAGGUCUCUGGGCUGUUACUGACGCUGAGGAGCGAAAGCAUGGGGAGCGAACAGGAUUAGAUACCCUGGUAGUCCAUGCCGUAAACGUUGGGCACUAGGUGUGGGGGACAUUCCACGUUUUCCGCGCCGUAGCUAACGCAUUAAGUGCCCCGCCUGGGGAGUACGGCCGCAAGGCUAAAACUCAAAGGAAUUGACGGGGGCCCGCACAAGCGGCGGACCAUGCGGAUUAAUUCGAUGCAACGCGAAGAACC
This 902-nucleotide ribosomal RNA is filed under the name Kocuria palustris. Its description in RNAcentral is "bacterial SSU rRNA". It matches the Rfam family "Bacterial small subunit ribosomal RNA", at positions 61 to 970 of the family's 1533-position model. Lineage: Bacteria; Bacillati; Actinomycetota; Actinomycetes; Micrococcales; Micrococcaceae. The record is from RNAcentral.